Molecule: ribosomal RNA, 292 nt
Filed under: uncultured bacterium
Lineage: Bacteria
Description: partial 16S ribosomal RNA
Rfam family: Bacterial small subunit ribosomal RNA
Source: RNAcentral
GUGCCAGCAGCCGCGGUAACACGGGGGGAGCAAGCGUUGUUCGGAAUCACUGGGCGUAAAGGGCGUGUAGGCGGUCGAGUAAGUGGAAUGUGAAAUACUCCGGCUCACCCGGAGCACUGCAUCCCAAACUGCUCGGCUUGAGUAUGGGAGAGGACGAGGGAAUUCCUGGUGUAGCGGUGAAAUGCGUAGAUAUCAGGAGGAACACCGGUGGCGAAAGCGCUCGUCUGGCCCAAUACUGACGCUGAUGCGCGAAAGCUAGGGGAGCAAACGGGAUUAGAAACCCGAGUAGUCC